ACAGAAAAUGCAAAUAGUCUGAGCCAGAAAUAAUUGACAGAAGGCUAGUGUGGCUGCUGAACAGAGAGAGAGCAAGCAGGAAGGAAGAUCAGGGUGGAGUAAAAGACAAGACCGUGCAAAGCUUUAUCAGCUACAUCAGAUAAUUUAGAUUUUAUCCUAAUGUAGUGAGAAGGUUUUGAAGGAUCUUAAAUAGUGAUACAACAGGCUCCUUCGGGCUGCAAUGUGUAAAAUUGAAGGUGCCUGCUUCCCCUUCAUCUUCUGCCAUGAUUGUAAGUUUCCUGAGGCCUCCCCAGACAUGCGGAACUUUUUACAAACUGAAGUCAAGGAGUACCUUCAAUCAAGUCUCCCACAGGGAAAGAAAAAAAGCCAACAGAAUUACCAAAGCCCUUUCUUCUCUUUUCUUUUCCAGGAACAGAAGACAGCAAGAAAACCUCAUUUGGAACCGCUAUGAUUCCAUCUCCAACCUGACCAAUCAGCACUCCCCACUUCUCAAGCCUUUACCCUCCAAAUUAUCUUUAAAAACUCUGAUCCCUGAAUGCUCAGGGAGAGUGAUUUGAAUCAUUAAAAAAAAUUCCUAUCUCUCACACAGCCAGCUCUUCAUGAAUUAUUUCUUCUUCAUUGCAAUUCCACUGUCUUGAUAAAUCACCUCCGUCUAGGCAGCAGGCAAGGUGAUCCCAUUGGGCAGCUACAGAUACACUCAAAAAUACUAUACAUAUGGCCAGGUGCGGUGACUCAUGCCUAUCCCAGCACUUUGGAAGGGUGAGGCAGGCAGGUCACGAGGUCAAAAGAUUGAGACCAUCCUGGCCAACCUGGUGAAACCCUGACUCUACUAAAAAUACAACAAUUAGCUGGACGUAGUGGAGCACACCUGUAGUUCCAGCUAUUCAGGAGGCUGAGGCAGGAGAAUCUCUUGAACCUGAGAGGCAGAGGCUGCAGUGAGCCGAUAUCACACCACCGCACUCCAGCCUGGAGACAGAGCAAGAUUCCAUCACAAAACAAACAAACAAACGACAACAACAACAACAACAAAGUGCUAUACCUAAAUCAAAAUAAAAUUCUAAAGAAAAUAUUUAAUUAACUCAAAGUAGAGCAGGAGAAAGUAACCAGACAGAUAAAAACCAAGAGACAACAAAGAAAAUGAAAAGCAAAAUUGCCG
This 1156-nucleotide long non-coding RNA is filed under the name Papio anubis (olive baboon). RNAcentral's name for it is "lncRNA (ENSPANG00000050158.1)". Lineage: Eukaryota; Metazoa; Chordata; Mammalia; Primates; Cercopithecidae. The record is from RNAcentral.